UUCUCUCCAAUGCUGAAUGUUCCUUCCUCAUGCUUGAAUCUGAAGUAAAGUGUUGAACCAAAGUGCUGCAGACCUGAAGUGUGAAUUCUCUCCACAGUGCCUGUCACCCACUAGCUGCCUUGGCACCGUGGAUGAUUCCAUCUGAUUAAGUGGUAGUGAAGCUUCGACUCAUCAUCUGAUGGAGCACUACAAGGGGCUUCUGAAGAAGUUGAACAGCCACCGUUUUAGUCAUGAUGAAGACGGUACAAACUCUGAUUCCCUCAGCGACAAAUAUCCAUGCAUCUUGCUGGCUCUGCUGAUCCAAGUAGAAGAAUUUGCUAAUCAAGUGGGCAUUCUACACCUUAGCCAAGUGCUCAUCUGCACAGUUCAGACAAUAAAUAGAUUUGGA
Molecule: long non-coding RNA, 388 nt
Organism: Neofelis nebulosa (Clouded leopard)
Lineage: Eukaryota; Metazoa; Chordata; Mammalia; Carnivora; Felidae
Exons: 3
Source: RefSeq, a predicted model, not a curated record